GCCAUUGCCUCAAAGGAGUUAGCAAACUGUACUGGGAGUGGAGUUUUUUGAUGAGAAGUUGAACUCCUUGUGCAUGACGUGGCUGGUGGAUCACGUGCUUGCCUUAUCGUAGAAAGGAGUGAAGAAACGGCUCUCCAGACUUGCAACGAGAUCUACUGCCGACAUCUUUAAAAACCUUCUUCCACUCUCUCUUUGUACCGUAUAGGAAAAAGGAAAGUUACGUCACAUCCGGAGUUUCUCCAGUUAGCGGACGAUUUCCCUCCACGCCUCUCUGACAUACUGGGGAACCGCGUACGAGGCAAGUUACAGCAGUGGUUUGCCAUUGCCUUCUGCCGGGUGAGUUUCCAAAGUGAUAACCAGCUCGUAACCCAGCACGGAUGGAAAGUGUGCAGGGGAGCCGGCUGGAUUCAAACUCGGGGU
Molecule: long non-coding RNA, 420 nt
Organism: Mobula hypostoma (lesser devil ray)
Lineage: Eukaryota; Metazoa; Chordata; Chondrichthyes; Myliobatiformes; Myliobatidae
Exons: 3
Source: RefSeq, a predicted model, not a curated record